This is a long non-coding RNA of Tripterygium wilfordii, 1460 nucleotides long. RefSeq lists it as uncharacterized. The transcript has 5 exons. Lineage: Eukaryota; Viridiplantae; Streptophyta; Magnoliopsida; Celastrales; Celastraceae. The record is from RefSeq and is a predicted model, not a curated record.
UCUUCUCAAAUCUCAGAGAAAGUUUCUGAUGGUUAGAUAGUUUCUUAUUCACCUUGACUCUUUAAGUUUUUUUGUGUUUGUUCAUAUUUCUUGAAAUUGUACACGCUAUCUCGCAAACUGGCAUGUAACAAAUUCUCUGCUUAGAAGCUAUUAAGUCCUGCCAGGUUGGGGAUCUUCCAUGAUUAGCACAUGGAACCAAUUUUUAGCUCCAACAUACCACAAGAUGACAUAGUUGAUCUAAUAUUCAUAUUUGCAACUUUGUUACAGGCACAAAAUACCAGGGUAAUGGAUCAAAUAGGGGUAAACUAUCGGUUGAUGAUUUUCUUUAUCUAAUCCUCAAGGUACUUUUAAUCGAAAGUUUUUUUGGUUGUCACAAUACAGGAUGUUUGACCAGAUGAAUUAGUGCUUACUUCUCUAUUUGAGAUGAAUUAUUUGCUUAAAUUCCAUCUAUGAGAUUACUGUCUGAGGUUUGUUACAGUUUAUGGUCUUUGUGCCUUUUCUCUCUCAAUGUUCAUCUAUUUCUGAUUUGACAUUUCCUAUUUAUGGGUUUUGACUCUUUUUUUUUGGGUCCUUUUCUAUAAUGUUCCAGAAGAUUCAUCAGGAUGUGGAGGAGCUUCCAUGCACUUGGAAACACUAUUUUAGCCUACUCAUACUCUAUUAUCCUAAUUGAAAUUCAGGUUUUGCAGCAGUGGAAAAUGAAGGUUUGGUGAUAGAAGAACUUUUACUAUAUGAAGUGGUAUAGGCCCUGUUGAUAUAAAUGGGGGUAUCUUCUGGAUGUAAUUGACUUGGUGUCCAGUAGAAGAUUUGUAAUAGAGACUAGAAACGGUUAAGAUUGAUGCACAUAACGUUAAUGGGGCAACAUUUACGAUGAAUUUUUCGGACCUUCCUGCACGUGUAUUUCAACAUGAAUAUUUGACCAUUUACAGGCUUUGGAUUGUUCAAGAUAGGCCUGAAGUUGUUGCUUAAUUUCCGACCUUAGGAUGCAAUGUUUGCCGGGGGCUACCUGUCCAAGAUAUCUCUGUUUUAACAUUUUGCUGAAGUUAUGGGUUGAAUUUAGUUCUCAUUAUCUCAGGUGGGACAGAGGUGCAUGAGGUGUGGCAAUCUUUUGGUUUUCGCUCUGUUCUUGAGAAAGUAGCAACACUCUUGAUUUUCGAGAAUAUUGGAGAACAAUAUGCCAGUAAAGGAGAGGAUGUUAACCGACCUUUACUUCCAAAGCAAGCUACUUUUUACGAAGAUUUGGUAAUUUGGUUGAAUUAUUCUUAUUAUAUUUUAUCGUACCAUAUUUUAUGUUGUACGAUCUGAGAAAUAUAGCACUAAAAUAUAUGUGACAUGCUAUUGUUGUUGUUGUUCAAGCAUGUGUUUCUGUGGACAAUAUUUGUUUUUGCAAAGGAGUACUCAGAUCUGACUUCUCCUAAGUUUCUUAAUGUCAAAAGUGGCUGCUCAUUGUUUUUGAAUUCAAA